GGCAACCCAACUCGUGUAUUUUAAUAAUUGAUGCUGGCACCUUCGGUGUCCGGCGUUGUAACCUCGAGACGUGUUUUCCGUGCGGCUCUAUGGACAAGUUCCUUGGAACAGGACAUCGUAGAGGGUGAGAAUCCCGUACUUGCCAUGGAUGUACCGUGCUUUGCGAUACAUGCUCUAAGAGUCGAGUUGUUUGGGAUUGCAGCUCAAAAUGGGUGGUAGACUCCAUCUAAAGCUAAAUAUCGGGGAGAGACCGAUAGCGAACAAGUACCGUGAGGGAAAGAUGAAAAGCACUUUGGAAAGAGAGUUAAAAGUACGUGAAAUUGUCGAAAGGGAAGCGCUUGAAGUCAGCCAUGCUGCUUGAGACUCAGCCUGGCUUUUGCUUGUGGUGUUUUUCGGGGAGGCAGUCCACAUUGGUUUGGAUCCGCCGAAAAACCGCAUAGGAAAGGGACGCCCUCCGGAGGGGUUUAACCUUUUAGUGGAAUCCAACAACUUGACCAAAGAACCCCACGGGGCUUACGGGGCGGCUUCUCACACCUUCUCGCUUAUGAGACGGGGGUAAUAUAA
RNAcentral lists this ribosomal RNA (564 nucleotides) under Malassezia globosa. Its description in RNAcentral is "partial large subunit ribosomal RNA". It matches the Rfam family "Eukaryotic large subunit ribosomal RNA", at positions 88 to 634 of the family's 3401-position model. Lineage: Eukaryota; Fungi; Basidiomycota; Malasseziomycetes; Malasseziales; Malasseziaceae. The record is from RNAcentral.